CAGCAGCCGCGGGAAUACAGAGGGUGCGAGCGUUAAUCGGAUUUACUGGGCGUAAAGCGUGCGUAGGCGGCUUCUUAAGUCGGAUGUGAAAUCCCUGAGCUUAACUUAGGAAUUGCAUUCGAUACUGGGAAGCUAGAGUAUGGGAGAGGAUGGUAGAAUUCCAGGUGUAGCGGCGAAAUGCGUAGAGAUCUGGAGGAAUACCGAUGGCGAAGGCAGCCAUCUGGCCUAAUACUGACGCUGAGGUACGAAAGCAUGGGGAGCAAACAGGAUUAGAUACCCGCGUAGUCCCUGUCUCUUAUAC
RNAcentral lists this ribosomal RNA (301 nucleotides) under uncultured bacterium. Its description in RNAcentral is "partial 16S ribosomal RNA". It matches the Rfam family "Bacterial small subunit ribosomal RNA", at positions 509 to 807 of the family's 1533-position model. The record is from RNAcentral.